UAACAGGCUAAUCUCCCCCAAGAGUUCACAUCGACGGGGAGGUUUGGCACCUCGAUGUCGGCUCAUCGCAUCCUGGGGCUGGAGUAGGUCCCAAGGGUUUGGCUGUUCGCCAAUUAAAGCGGUACGUGAGCUGGGUUUAAAACGUCGUGAGACAGUUUGGUCCCUAUCUGUCGCGGGCGGAGGAUAUUUGAGAGGAGCUGUCCCUAGUACGAGAGGACCGGGAUGGACGAACCUCUAGUGUUCCAGUUGUCACGCCAGUGGCAUCGCUGGGUAGCUACGUUCGGACGGGAUAACCGCUGAAAGCAUCUAAGCGGGAAGCCCACCUCAAGAUUAGAUAUCCCGUGGCGUAAGCCACCUAAAGACCCCUCGGAGACUACGAGGUUGAUAGGUCAGGUGUGUAAGGCCAGUAAUGGUCUGAGCUUACUGAUACUAAUCGGUCGUGCGGCUUGACCAU
This 454-nucleotide ribosomal RNA is filed under the name Thermodesulfobacteriota bacterium. RNAcentral's name for it is "partial 23S ribosomal RNA". It matches the Rfam family "Bacterial large subunit ribosomal RNA", at positions 2475 to 2925 of the family's 2925-position model. The record is from RNAcentral. Lineage: Bacteria; Pseudomonadati; Thermodesulfobacteriota.